GGAGCUGAGGCUUAGUGGCCAGAGCAUCUGGUUUGCCUACCAAAGGUCUUGGGUUCAAUCCCUGGUAUCUCCA
RNAcentral lists this transfer RNA (73 nucleotides) under Sphaerodactylus townsendi. RNAcentral's name for it is "tRNA-Ala". It matches the Rfam family "tRNA". From Rfam's summary of the family: Transfer RNA (tRNA) molecules are approximately 80 nucleotides in length. Lineage: Eukaryota; Metazoa; Chordata; Lepidosauria; Squamata; Sphaerodactylidae. The record is from RNAcentral.